Molecule: ribosomal RNA, 492 nt
Filed under: uncultured bacterium
Lineage: Bacteria
Description: partial 16S ribosomal RNA
Rfam family: Bacterial small subunit ribosomal RNA
Source: RNAcentral
AGUGAACGCUGGCGGUAGGCCUAACACAUGCAAGUCGAACGGCAGCACAGUAAGAGCUUGCUCUUACGGGUGGCGAGUGGCGGACGGGUGAGGAAUACAUCGGAAUCUACUUUUUCGUGGGGGAUAACGUAGGGAAACUUACGCUAAUACCGCAUACGACCUACGGGUGAAAGCAGGGGAUCUUCGGACCUUGCGCGAUUGAAUGAGCCGAUGUCGGAUUAGCUAGUUGGCGGGGUAAGGGCCCACCAAGGCGACGAUCCGUAGCUGGUCUGAGGGGAUGAUCAGCCACACUGGAACUGAGACACGGUCCAGACUCCUACGGGAGGCAGCAGUGGGGAAUAUUGGACAAUGGGCGCAAGCCUGAUCCAGCCAUACCGCGUGGGUGAAGAAGGCCUUCGGGUUGUAAAGCCCUUUUGUUGGGAAAGAAAAGCAGCAGGUUAAUACCACGCUGUUCUGACGGUACCCAAAGAAUAAGCACCGGCUAACUUCGUG